GCAAGCCUGACGGAGCAAUACCGCGUGAGGGAGGAAGGCCUUUGGGUUGUAAACCUCUUUUCUUAAGGAAGAAGAUCUGACGGUACUUAAGGAGUCAGCAUCGGCUAACUCCGUGCCAGCAGCCGCGGUAAUACGGAGGAUGCAAGCGUUAUCCGGAAUUAUUGGGCGUAAAGCGUCCGCAGGCGGCACUAUAAGUCUGCUGUCAAAGACCGCAGCUCAACUGCGGAAAGGCAGUGGAAACUGUAGAGCUAGAGUACGGUAGGGGUAGAGGGAAUUCCCAGUGUAGCGGUGAAAUGCGUAGAGAUUGGGAAGAACACCAGUGGCGAAAGCGCUCUACUGGGCCGUAACUGACGCUCAGGGACGAAAGCUAGGGGAGCG
Molecule: ribosomal RNA, 378 nt
Filed under: uncultured cyanobacterium
Lineage: Bacteria; Bacillati; Cyanobacteriota
Description: bacterial SSU rRNA
Rfam family: Bacterial small subunit ribosomal RNA
Source: RNAcentral